UCGUGGAGUGAUUUGUCUGGUUAAUUCCGAUAACGAACGAGACCUUAUUCUGCUAAUUACGCAGGCUAACUCUUUCGGGUUGGUUUAUGUUUAUCAUUUAACUGUGUUCUUAGAGAGACUAUCUGCUUGAAGCAGAGGGAAGUUUUAGGCAAUAACA
RNAcentral lists this ribosomal RNA (157 nucleotides) under uncultured eukaryote. RNAcentral describes it as "partial 18S ribosomal RNA". It matches the Rfam family "Eukaryotic small subunit ribosomal RNA", at positions 1299 to 1458 of the family's 1831-position model. The record is from RNAcentral.